AGCGGAGGAAAAGUAACUAACAAGGAUUCCCCUAGUAACUGCGAGUGAAGCGGGAAAAGCUCAAAUUUAAAAUCCUUCGGGAAUUGUAAUCUAGAGAAGUGUUUUCGGUCGUUGCCUCGGACAAGUCCCUUGGAACAGGGCGUCAUAGAGGGUGAGAAUCCCGUCCUUGCCGAGCUACCAACGUCUAUGUGAUGCACUCUCGAAGAGUCGAGUUGUUUGGGAAUGCAGCUCAAAAUGGGUGGUAAACUCCAUCUAAAGCUAAAUAUUGGCGAGAGACCGAUAGCGAACAAGUACCGUGAGGGAAAGAUGAAAAGCACUUUGGACAGAGAGUUAAACAGUACGUGAAAUUGUUGAAAGGGAAGCGCUUGAAGUCAGUCGCGUUGCAAGGACUCAGCCGCAAGGUGCAUUUCUUUGCAACGGGUCAACAUCAGUUUUGGGCGUGGGAAAAGGGCUUGAGGAAUGUGGCAGCCUCGGCUGUGUUAUAGCCUCCUGUCGUACACCAUGCCUGGGACUGAGGACCGCUAACAGGAUGUUGACGUAAUGGCUUUAAGAGACCCGUCUUGAAACACGGACC
This 574-nucleotide ribosomal RNA is filed under the name uncultured Dacrymycetes. RNAcentral describes it as "eukaryotic LSU rRNA". It matches the Rfam family "Eukaryotic large subunit ribosomal RNA", at positions 49 to 667 of the family's 3401-position model. Lineage: Eukaryota; Fungi; Basidiomycota; Dacrymycetes. The record is from RNAcentral.